Molecule: ribosomal RNA, 319 nt
Filed under: uncultured eukaryote
Lineage: Eukaryota
Description: partial 18S ribosomal RNA
Rfam family: Eukaryotic small subunit ribosomal RNA
Source: RNAcentral
CCCUUAGAUGUUCUGGGCAGCACGCGCGCUACAAUGGUCUUCGCAAACGGAUGCAUUCUCGAAGGAGAAUACCAAUCUUGGAAUCUAUGCCUUGGUCGGGACAGUUGCUUGCAAUUUUUCGACUCGAACCAGGAAUUCCUUGUAAUCGUGAUUCAUCACAUCACGAUGAAUACGUCCCUGCCCUUUGUACACACCGCCCGUCGCUCCUACCGAUCGAAGAGUUAGGUGAAUUGUUUUGAUCGAUAAGAUUUGACUAUGGUCAACUCUCGUUGUGAAAUUCUGUGAAUCUGACUGUUUAGAGGAAGGAAAAGGCGUAACA